GCUGAAACAACAGCUACCCAGUAUUAAGCACCGCUGAGGUCCAUCUGUGUUUCUCUCUCUUCCUCUGUGCUACACGCUGAAGAACAGGAACCUAGACGCAGAUCUCAUCAGGUGCUUGUCCCGCUGAGAGACUCCACAGGGCCCUGAACCCACCUCCUAAAUACGCCACCAAUCGUCACUGGAGUAUCACCACCUAGACAGGAGUAAGGAGUGA
This 214-nucleotide long non-coding RNA is filed under the name Sinocyclocheilus grahami. Its description in RNAcentral is "lncRNA (ENSSGRG00000021497.1)". The record is from RNAcentral. Lineage: Eukaryota; Metazoa; Chordata; Actinopteri; Cypriniformes; Cyprinidae.